CGUGGGGGAAGAAGGCUCUUUGGGUUGUAAACUCCUUUUCUCUGGGAAGAACAAAAUGACGGUACCAGAGGAAUCAGCAUCGGCUAACUCCGUGCCAGCAGCCGCGGUAAGACGGAGGAUGCAAGCGUUAUCCGGAAUGAUUGGGCGUAAAGCGUCCGCAGGUGGCAGUUCAAGUCUGCUGUCAAAGACCGGGGCUUAACCUCGGAAAGGCAGUGGAAACUGAACAGCUAGAGUAUGGUAGGGGCAAAGGGAAUUCCUGGUGUAGCGGUGAAAUGCGUAGAGAUCAGGAAGAACAUCGGUGGCGAAGGCGCUUUGCUGGACCAUAACUGACACUCAGGGACGAAAGCUAGGGGAGCGAAUGGGAUUAGAUACCACCAGUAGUCAAAAAGAUUA
RNAcentral lists this ribosomal RNA (393 nucleotides) under uncultured bacterium. Its description in RNAcentral is "bacterial SSU rRNA". It matches the Rfam family "Bacterial small subunit ribosomal RNA", at positions 400 to 805 of the family's 1533-position model. The record is from RNAcentral.